GACGAACGCUGGCGGCGUGCCUAAUACAUGCAAGUAGAACGCUGAAGGAGGAGCUUGCUUCUCUGGAUGAGUUGCGAACGGGUGAGUAACGCGUAGGUAACCUGCCUGGUAGCGGGGGAUAACUAUUGGAAACGAUAGCUAAUACCGCAUAAGAGUAGAUGUUGCAUGACAUUUGCUUAAAAGGUGCAAUUGCAUCACUACCAGAUGGACCUGCGUCGUAUUAGCUAGUUGGUGGGGUAACGGCUCACCAAGGCGACGAUACAUAGCCGACCUGAGAGGGGGGGCAGCCACACUGGGAGGGUGACACGGCCCAGACUCCCUCGGGAGGGAGCAGGAGGGAAACGUGGGGAAGGGGCGGAAGACUGUGCGAACAACGCCGCGGGAGGGAAGAAGGUUUUCGGGUCGGAAAGAUCGGUUGUAAGGGAAGAACGAGUGUGAGAGUGGAAAGUUCACACUGUGACGGUAACUUACCAGAAAGGGACGGCUAACUACGUG
Molecule: ribosomal RNA, 495 nt
Filed under: uncultured bacterium
Lineage: Bacteria
Description: partial 16S ribosomal RNA
Rfam family: Bacterial small subunit ribosomal RNA
Source: RNAcentral